This 797-nucleotide long non-coding RNA is filed under the name Phascolarctos cinereus (koala). RNAcentral's name for it is "lncRNA (ENSPCIG00000036669.1)". The record is from RNAcentral. Lineage: Eukaryota; Metazoa; Chordata; Mammalia; Diprotodontia; Phascolarctidae.
AUGGCUGCUACCAAGUGGAUACUUCUCCUUUCUUCAGUAGCCCUGUUGGGCCUGAGCUCAGCUCAAUUCACAGAUGAAGAGGAUGAACAAAAUUCAGAAGGACCAGUAGAUUCACCAGCACCAUUUGACUCCCAGGAAGACGAUCAGAACCCUGCCCAGCAACAAGGUGGUAACCAGAAACGUGGACCUCCAGGUGGAAAGCAAGGAGGUCGGCAAGGUGGACAGCAAGGAGGUUGGCAAGGUGGACAGCAAGGUUGGCAAGGUGGACAGCAAGGAGGUCGGCAACGUGGACAGCAAGGAGGUCGGCAAGGUGGACAGCAAGGAGGGCGGCAAGGUGGACUGCAAGGAGGUCGGCAACGUGGACAGCAAGGAGGUCGGCAAGGUGGACAGCAAGGAGGGCGGCAAGGUGGACUGCAAGGAGGUCGGCAAGGUAGACUGCAAGGAGGUCGGCAAGGUGGACAGCAAGGAGGUUGGCAAGGUGGACAGCAAGGAGGUCGUCAAGGUGGACAGCAAGGAGGUCGCCAAGGUGGACAGCAAGGAGGGCGGCAAAGUGGACAGCAAGGAGGUUGGCGAGGUAGACAGCAAGGAGGCCAACAGGGUGGCCAUCCAGGUGGCCAAUGAAGAGGUCAUUCACUCUCCCCACCCCCAAGUGCAUAAAAAGGAAGAUGUGCAUUCAGGAGGCACCCUUGAAGUCCUCACAGGGACAUGGAUAUUUGACAGUACGUACCUCUUGAUCUACUCCAUUGUUUCUUUACAACACCAAUAAAUACACUAGCAAUUAAAUGUUGACUCCUGCU